This 429-nucleotide ribosomal RNA is filed under the name Gemmatimonadota bacterium. Its description in RNAcentral is "Gemmatimonadetes bacterium partial 16S ribosomal RNA". It matches the Rfam family "Bacterial small subunit ribosomal RNA", at positions 355 to 776 of the family's 1533-position model. The record is from RNAcentral. Lineage: Bacteria; Pseudomonadati; Gemmatimonadota.
UAGGGAAUCUUCGGCAAUGGACGAAAGUCUGACCGAGCAACGCCGCGUGAGUGAAGAAGGUUUUCGGAUCGUAAAACUCUGUUGUUAGAGAAGAACAAGGACGUUAGUAACUGAACGUCCCCUGACGGUAUCUAACCAGAAAGCCACGGCUAACUACGUGCCAGCAGCCGCGGUAAUACGUAGGUGGCAAGCGUUGUCCGGAUUUAUUGGGCGUAAAGCGAGCGCAGGCGGUUUCUUAAGUCUGAUGUGAAAGCCCCCGGCUCAACCGGGGAGGGUCAUUGGAAACUGGGAGACUUGAGUGCAGAAGAGGAGAGUGGAAUUCCAUGUGUAGCGGUGAAAUGCGUGGAUAUAUGGAAGAACACCAGUGGCGAAGGCGGCUCUCUGGUCUGUAACUGACGCUGAGGCUCGAAAGCGUGGGGAGCAAACAGG